RNAcentral lists this ribosomal RNA (495 nucleotides) under Zeugodacus hochii. Its description in RNAcentral is "partial large subunit ribosomal RNA". Lineage: Eukaryota; Metazoa; Arthropoda; Insecta; Diptera; Tephritidae. The record is from RNAcentral.
CCUGUUUAACAAAAACAUGUYUUUUUGAGUUAAUUUUAAAGUYUGACCUGCCCMCUGAAAUUUUUAAAUGGCCGCAGUAUUYUAACUGUGCAAAGGUAGCAUAAUCAUUAGUYUUUUAAUUGAAGGCUGGUAUGAACGGUUGGACGAGGUAUAAGCUGUUUCAUAUAAAUUUAUAAUAGAAUUUUAUAUUUUAGUUAAAAAGCUAAAAUAUAAUUAAAAGACGAGAAGACCCUAUAAAUCUUUAUAUUUUUUAUUAUUCAAGUUUUUUGGUUUUUUUUUACUUUUAUAUUGAAAAAUAUUUUGUUGGGGUGAUAUUAAAAUUUAAUGAACUUUUAAUUAUAAAAAAUCAUUAAUUUAUGAGUUGUUGAUCCAUUACUAGUGAUUAUAAGAUUAAGUUACUUUAGGGAUAACAGCGUAAUUUUUUUGGAGAGUUCAUAUCGAUAAAAAAGUUUGCGACCUCGAUGUUGGAUUAAGAUAUAAUUUUAGGUGUAGCCG